This 91-nucleotide non-coding RNA is filed under the name Paenibacillus sp. 1_12. RNAcentral describes it as "GEMM cis-regulatory element". It matches the Rfam family "c-di-GMP-I riboswitch aptamer". From Rfam's summary of the family: GEMM was predicted in a large-scale screen for bacterial structured RNA regulatory elements. Genes associated with GEMM are involved in a diverse array of functions, including chemotaxis regulation, signal transduction, secretion and chitin. Lineage: Bacteria; Bacillati; Bacillota; Bacilli; Caryophanales; Paenibacillaceae. The record is from RNAcentral.
CACCGAUAAAGGCAAAUCUAGCGAAAGCUAGAGACGCAAAACUAUAGGACCUUCCUUAGCAUUCGUGCUGAGAUGGCAGCCAGUUACCGAA